Molecule: ribosomal RNA, 501 nt
Filed under: uncultured bacterium
Lineage: Bacteria
Description: bacterial SSU rRNA
Rfam family: Bacterial small subunit ribosomal RNA
Source: RNAcentral
GAUGAACGCUAGCGGCAGGCCUAAUACAUGCAAGUCGAACGGUAAGUAUUUUAGCAAUAGAAUACGAGAGUGACGUACGGGUGCGUAACACGUAUGCAACCUACCCUUUACAGGAGGAUAGCUCGGGGAAACUCGAAUUAACCCUCCAUGAGAUCACAGUGUGGCAUCACACAGUGAUUAAAACUCCGGUGGUAAAGGAUGGGCAUGCGUCUGAUUAGUUAGUUGGCGGGGUAACGGCCCACCAAGACGAUGAUCAGUAGGGGAACUGAGAGGUUGAUCCCCCACACUGGCACUGAGAUACGGGCCAGACUCCUACGGGAGGCAGCAGUAGGGAAUAUUGGUCAAUGGAUGGAAGUCUGAACCAGCCAUGCCGCGUGCAGGAAGAAGGCCUUCUGGGUUGUAAACUGCUUUUGCCAGGGGAUAAAAGACCAUGCGUGGUUAAUUGAAGGUACCUGGUGAAUAAGCCACGGCUAACUACGUGCCAGCAGCCGCGGUAAUACG